Molecule: small RNA, 142 nt
Filed under: Geobacteraceae bacterium
Lineage: Bacteria; Pseudomonadati; Thermodesulfobacteriota; Desulfuromonadia; Geobacterales; Geobacteraceae
Description: c-di-AMP sequence
Rfam family: c-di-AMP riboswitch aptamer (ydaO/yuaA leader)
About the family: This family represents a conserved RNA structure found upstream of the ydaO and yuaA genes in Bacillus subtilis and related genes in other bacteria. The ydaO/yuaA element is thought to act as a genetic "off" switch for the ydaO and yuaA genes in its native state.
Source: RNAcentral
CCGCACAAGCAGCCGAGAUUCGUCCGCAAAGGACGGAUACGGGGGACCCGAUCAACUGGGGCGCAUUCCGGAUAACCACCGGAUAGGGAACUUCCAAUCCCGAGCCCGUCAGCUAACCUCGUAGGCACCUGGAAGGGCACAA